UUUUAUAGGUAUUUAAUUAAAAUUUUCAUUAUUGUUUUCUAGCCCAAUGUCGGUAGGAAAUUAAAGCCCAAUAUUGGAAGUCCAAAAGCUAACCCUAAAGACCAUCUUCCAUUUUCAAGACCACGGACCUUACACAAAAACAAUGGAGAAAGACAAGUUGAACCCUAGUUUACUGCCGCCGACAUCUCCUCUCACAGCCCCAAUCGCCUCCAGCCUGCCAGAAAACGCACACGUCCCACACUUUUUGUCUUCAUCUUCUUAUUCAUAACACACUAAGAAAAACAUAAGACCCAAAAAUCCCUAGGAGACCCCCAGCCGCCACAACCAAAUAACCAUUGCCCCCCCCCCCCCC
This 352-nucleotide long non-coding RNA is filed under the name Nicotiana benthamiana. Its description in RNAcentral is "long non-coding RNA (NBEN_LNC018365)". The record is from RNAcentral. Lineage: Eukaryota; Viridiplantae; Streptophyta; Magnoliopsida; Solanales; Solanaceae.